Molecule: ribosomal RNA, 253 nt
Filed under: uncultured bacterium
Lineage: Bacteria
Description: partial 16S ribosomal RNA
Rfam family: Bacterial small subunit ribosomal RNA
Source: RNAcentral
UACGUAGGUGGCAAGCGUUGUCCGGAUUUAUUGGGUUUAAAGGGUGCGUAGGCGGAUUAGUAAGUCAGUGGUGAAAGCCCAUCGCUUAACGGUGGAAUUGCCAUUGAUACUGCUAGUCUUGAGUAUGGUUGAGGUGGGCGGAAUGUGUCAUGUAGCGGUGAAAUGCUUAGAUAUGACCCAGAACACCAAUUGCGAAGGCAGCUCGCUAAACCAUAACUGACGCUGAUGCACGAAAGCGUGGGGAGCAAACAGG